UUUUUUUUUUUAUUUAUAUUCUCAUAAAAUAUUUAUUGCUUUUAAUAGUCACUUCGGAUAAUUAUCAUCAGAGGUAACUCAACUUUAUGAUAGUUUUUACUAAAGUUACUGAACUUUAAUUUCGUUCAAAAAAAUUACUUGACUUCAAUUUCGCAUAAAACAAACUAAUUGUUCUUACCUCCAUUCACAUCUCUGUCCAGGUGAUGAUAUGACAAAUUCAUGUGUAUAAACUAGUGAAUGUAUACACACUCUCUUUUUUGCAUACUCUUUCCUACAUGCACAAGUCACAUCUCUCUCCCUUUAUUCUAUUUAAAUCAUUUUACUUGUCUGAAUAUGGCACUUCUCUUGUCUGUUUGAAGGAAAAUAGGAAAGCUUUUAGAUUUGAGCUUGUAAAAAGAAACGAUGGAGCGAGGUGAGUAUGCAAUAGGUUUUUCUAGAUGUAUUUGCAAUAUUGAAGCCAAUCUGCGCACUGCUUGGACUGGCAGUAAUCCUGGGAGGCGUUUGCAUGGUUGCAGAAAUUAUGGGGUAAGUAAUUCAGAAAAUGUUGUAAGGUUUUUCUUUUCUUUAAUUUGUCAAGAUUUUUAGGGUAAAUGUGGGAGUUAAGUUUUUGCAGACAUCAAAUUAUUGUGGGUAUUUUCAGUGGUAUGAUGAUCCUUUCCUGUUAAGAGCAACACAAGUGAUUUCUGGGUUACUGAGGAGGAUUGAUCGACAUGAUCUUGAUCUUCAAGCGGCCCGAGGGAAAGAGAGAAAGUGGAUGUACAUUGCACUGUGUUUGGCACUUUAUAUUGUGGUGGAGAAAGUGUUUAUUAGAUAAGCUUAUGAAGACUAAGGGCUAAGUAAAAUUUCAAUUGACAUGAUAAAAAAAUGCAUAUUGAUUUAGUGGUUGUGUGAUGG
Molecule: unclassified non-coding RNA, 894 nt
Filed under: Hevea brasiliensis (rubber tree)
Lineage: Eukaryota; Viridiplantae; Streptophyta; Magnoliopsida; Malpighiales; Euphorbiaceae
Source: RNAcentral